RNAcentral lists this long non-coding RNA (531 nucleotides) under Oryza brachyantha (malo sina). RNAcentral's name for it is "long non-coding RNA (OBRA_LNC000982)". Lineage: Eukaryota; Viridiplantae; Streptophyta; Magnoliopsida; Poales; Poaceae. The record is from RNAcentral.
GCAGCAUGGCCACGCCGCCGCUCCCCGCUUCGCCGCUAGCACCCUUCCUCCUCCUCCUCCUCCUCCUCUCUCGCCGUCACCUGAAAAAAAAAUCCCAAAGAUUUCUGCUUUAGUUUAAGCUACUGACCCGAAUCCUAGCAGCAACUAGCUAAGCAAAGAACUGGUAAGUAAAAGAAAGUAAAGAUCUUUCGAUUUCUCUGCUUUGCUUCGUACCUCUGCCAUGGAGAUGCGGGUGGUGAUGGUGCCUGCUGCUGGAUUCGGCGAAGGGAAUCAGCGCCGCGAGGAAGACGGCAAGAAGAACGAAGGCCAAGAACAGAACCGAGUUACUCCUCAUCUCGCUUUCGUUUUCUUCCUCUCUUUGCAAUCAAGAAUUCGGUGUCUAUCUAUCUGUACGCGGCUAAUAGAAGACUGCUCUUAUAGGGGGACAAAAUCCAAACCGUGUGCCCCUGCCCACUGAGAAGCCACCAAGUCUUCCUCUUUUAUUUGCUCCUUUUUUUUUUCUGACGAUAGAGAAGCCACCAAGUUGACGAC